This 462-nucleotide ribosomal RNA is filed under the name uncultured bacterium. RNAcentral's name for it is "bacterial SSU rRNA". It matches the Rfam family "Bacterial small subunit ribosomal RNA", at positions 29 to 505 of the family's 1533-position model. The record is from RNAcentral.
AUUGAACGCUGGCGGCAUGCCUUACACAUGCAAGUCGAACGGCAGCGCGGGAGCAAUCCUGGCGGCGAGUGGCGAACGGGUGAGUAAUAUAUCGGAACGUGCCCAGUAGUGGGGGAUAGCCCGGCGAAAGCCGGAUUAAUACCGCAUGAGACCUGAGGGUGAAAGCGGGGGAUCGCAAGACCUCGCGCUACUGGAGCGGCCGAUAUCAGAUUAGCUAGUUGGUGGGGUAAAGGCCUACCAAGGCAACGAUCUGUAGUUGGUCUGAGAGGACGACCAGCCACACUGGGACUGAGACACGGCCCAGACUCCUACGGGAGGCAGCAGUGGGGAAUUUUGGACAAUGGGCGCAAGCCUGAUCCAGCAAUGCCGCGUGCAGGAAGAAGGCCUGGUGUAAGACUCUUCUAGCAGGAACGAAACGGUAGGCCGACUAAUAACUGGCGUACUAAUAGACGGUAACCGUCG